GCGCCAGGGAAUUACGAGCGCAAGCUUAAAACCCAAAGGAUUUGACGGUGUCCCACCCACCUAGAGGAGCCUGUUCUAUAAUCGAUGAUCCUCGAUACACCUUACCAUUUUUUGCUUUCAGCCUGUAUACCUCCGUCGCAAAUUUACCAUAUGAAUGCCGUAAAGUAAGUUCAAUUGCCCUUACGCCAAUACGUCAGGUCAAGGUGCAGCCUAUAAAAUGGAAAGUAAUGGGCUACAAUUUCUAAUAUAGAACAAACGAAAAACUACAUGAAACAUAGUCAUGAAGGUGGAUUUAGUAGUAAAAGAAGAAUAGAGAGCUUCUUUAAACAAGGCCCUGGGACGUGUACACACCGCCCGUCAC
This 361-nucleotide ribosomal RNA is filed under the name Mantidactylus biporus. RNAcentral's name for it is "partial 12S ribosomal RNA". It matches the Rfam family "Bacterial small subunit ribosomal RNA", at positions 869 to 1400 of the family's 1533-position model. Lineage: Eukaryota; Metazoa; Chordata; Amphibia; Anura; Mantellidae. The record is from RNAcentral.